AAUGAACGCUGGCGGCGUGCCUCAUACAUGCAAGUCGAACGGGAAAGGUUCUUUCGGGGACUGAGUAUAGUGGCGAACGGGUGAGUAACACGUGAGUGACCUGGCCUGAAGUUGGGAAUAACAUUUCGAAAGGGGUGCUAAUACCCGAUGUGGAUGUUUAUUUACCUGGAUAGACAUUUAAAGUGGGGGAUCCGCAAGGACCUCAUGCUUCAGGAUGGACUCGCGGCCUAUUAGGUAGUUGGUGAGGUAACGGCUCACCAAGCCGAUGAUGGGUAGCCGGCCUGAGAGGGUGACCGGCCACACUGGGACUGAGAUACGGCCCAGACUCCUACGGGAGGCAGCAGUAGGGGAUUUUGCGCAAUGGGGGAAACCCUGACGCAGCGACGCCGCGUGAAUGAAGAAGCCCUUCGGGGUGUAAAGUUCUGUUGAUAGGGAAGAAUGGUAGUAAGGUGAAUAGCCUUAUUAUGUGACGGUACCUAUCGAGGAAGCUCCGGCUAACUCCGUGCCAGCAGCCGCGGUAAUACGGAGGGAGCGAGCGUUAUUCGGAAUUACUGGGCAUAAAGGGCGCGUAGGUGGUUUUGUAAGUCAGAGGUGAAAUACCACGGCUCAACCGUGGGGGUGCCUUUGAUACUGCAGGACUUGAGUACAGGAUAGGUGAGUGGAAUUCCAGGUGUAGCGGUGAAAUGCGUAGAUAUCUGGAAGAACACCGGUGGCGAAGGCGGCUCACUGGACUGAUACUGACACUGAGGCGCGAAAGCGUGGGGAGCAAACAGGAUUAGAUACCCUGGUAGUCCACGCUGUAAACUAUGGGUACUAGGUGUUGGGAUGGUAGCAUCUCGGUGCCGAAGCUAAUGCAUUAAGUACCCCGCCUGGGGAGUACGACCGCAAGGUUGAAACUCAAAGGAAUUGACGGGGGCCCGCACAAGCGGUGGAGUAUGUGGUUUAAUUCGAAGCAACGCGAAGAACCUUACCUGGCCUUGACAUAUACGUGACUGGCGUAGAGAUACGCAGUUUCUCCCUAGUGGAGGACACGUAUACAGGUGCUGCAUGGCUGUCGUCAGCUCGUGUCGUGAGAUGUUGGGUUAAGUCCCGCAACGAGCGCAACCCUUGCCUUUAGUUGCUAACAGGUGAAGCUGAGCACUUUAGAGGGACAGCCUGCGUUAAGCAGGAGGAAGGUGGGGACGACGUCAAGUCAUCAUGGCCCUUACGGCCAGGGCUACACACGUACUACAAUGGACGGUACAGAGGGUUGCAAAGCCGCGAGGUGGAGCUAAUCCCAGAAAGCCGUCCCCAGUUCGGAUUGCAGUCUGCAACUCGACUGCAUGAAGUUGGAAUCGCUAGUAAUCGCGGAUCAGCACGCCGCGGUGAAUACGUUCCCGGGCCUUGUACACACCGCCCGUCAAGCCACGAAAGCUGGUUUUGCCCGAAGUCGCUGACCCUAACGGGAGGUGCCUAAGGUAAGGCUGGUGAUUGGGGCU
RNAcentral lists this ribosomal RNA (1478 nucleotides) under uncultured bacterium. RNAcentral describes it as "bacterial SSU rRNA". It matches the Rfam family "Bacterial small subunit ribosomal RNA". The record is from RNAcentral.